AUGAACCAUAAUGAGAAGAAGAACAUGCCAAAAGAUAGAUUGAGCAGCAGCAAGAAGGUGAAGCACCAGGGAGAUGCACAUGGCAUGCCGGAAAGGUUGGGUGACCUCGGCCAGCGUUGGCUGUCCUUGCUGGCGACCUUGCCGUCUCCAACCCACCUGCAGAGUGGUUUCACCAGCUUUGGAUGCAAGGUCUCAAAAGUUAUGUUGUUCCUGGAUUAUAUCUUGUUGCUAGCUGCUUUACUUUUUGUCUUUGCUUGGCCUGCAUUAUUGAUGGGGUGUAAUUUCGGUGCUGGUCUUUCAAUAAUUUUGGUAGGUCAGUGUGUGCUUUUGGUGUCUGCCCAAAUCCGAACUGCGCGUGGGGGCGGGUGUUCUCAUCCAGGCCUGGGCGUCCUUGCCGGCGACUACUUGCUGUCUAACCCAUCCACAGGUGUACCAACUCAUUUCCGUCUCUUCGAUUUUCCUGUCCAAGUCCAUGCUUUGGUUUAUCUUAGUUGGCGUGAGAGCAUAUGGGAGAUCCAAUUUCAUCGUCCACCUGGGAUGCCAAAACAGUUCCUUCUGAUGCAGGCUGGGUCAGCCGUGCCAAUGUGCGAGAAGCAUUCGCCAAUCGCCGCGUGUUUGAUGUACAGGACGUGGGAAAACCCUGGAUGCCAUUCCCCUCUUGUCUAUGAACACCAGAGAAGGGAUAUGUUGUUGUACAUGAGAGGGCCUAGGAGGGUAAUUCUAACAAGUGGUGCUCUAAUAUUCACUUAUUCAGUUGCGUUCUGGAAUGACCUCUUUUUGCUUCCUAUUAGGGACAGAAAAGACAUUUGUCGUGGCGCUGCAAGUGUUGCCCCCCUCCUCCCCAAGGGCAAGGUGAAGGAAGGUGCCUGUGUGGUUCUUCUACAGUUCGGAGCAAGGAUUGCUGUGUCCAACCUGCACAAGAAUGCCAAGAAAUCCUUCUCGGAGAUGAUUAAGGACAUGUACCUGCACUACAGCGAGAGAUCUGGGCUGCUUCUUUUCCAUGAUCGGGGCAUUGUUGGCAUCGCUGCCCCGUGCACGCUGGUUGUCAAGAAGUUCCAGAGCAUGAACCCAGCAGCACCGCAGGUAGACGACAAUGUCAAGUACCGCUACAGGUCUGAGAUGGUCAUGCUAGUCAGCAAUUCUCAUGGUAACAUCAUCAGAGUCGUAGACCUCAUCGAGAGGGAAGACGCGAUCAUACUUGUUUAUGAGUACCCGGUGAACGGCAGCCUCCAAUCCUGGCUGCACCAGCAGAUGGAUGCCGGUCAGCCGCUGAGCUGGCCGGAGAGAAGGGCCAUCGCCAUUGACGUGGCCCAAGGGAUCCGUCACUUGCACCACCGUUGCCACAAGCCCAUUGUCCAGCACAACAUCAGCCCUAACAAUAUCUUCCUUGAUCAGAAUUUCAAGCCAGUGAUAACAGGUUUUGACGCUGCACAGAUGAGCAUGGCCGGGCUCGGCCAACCGCUGCCAAUCAUGGCGGACCUGCCUCCUGGUAACUUCGGGUAUGCAGCUCCAGAAUAUGGGAACACGGCAAGCCCUAUGACAGAGAAGGUCGACACCUACAGCUUUGGUGUGCUGCUGCUGGCACUCGUCACAGGGCGGGAGGCCAAUGGAGCUGGAGCGAAUGGUCAUUUGGCGGCUUGGGCGCACAACUUCACUGAAUUGUUGGCAGAACAACUGGAAUGUUUCGAGAGUUCCGUGGACAAGUGCAUCCCAGACCAUGUUCAGGCUGGGCGUGGAUUGCACCGUUGUGGAUCCGAAGCAAAGGCCAUCCAUGCGGAUGGCUCUCAAACGACUAUGCCGCGGCUGUGGGCGUGGCCCAUUCCGUGGCCUCUUCUGCUGCUACUUGCUGUGAUGCAUAAUCCGCGUCCUCGCCUCCUCCUCCAUCCGCGCCGCGUCCUCGCCUCCUCCUCCAUCCGCGCCGCGUCCUCGCCUCCUCCUCCAUCCUCGCGCCGCCUCCUCGCCUCCUCUUCCAUCCGCGCGCCGCCUCCUCGCCUCCUCCAUCCGCGCGCCUCGGCGGUGACCCCAUGGAGGGCGGCCGGGUCGGAGCGGUCCCCCGCGUCCCUCCUUCCCCGCUCGGCGAGCUGCCCGUUCUCCCCCGACGACCGGCGCAGGAGAGAGAAAGAGGAGAGGGAUGUGUGGCGGCGGACGGGAGAGGGUCGACCUCGUGGUCGGUGGCUGCUUGAUCUGAGAGAAAGAGGAGAGGAAGGUGUGGCGGCGGACGGGGGAGGGCCGACGUCGCGGUCAGUGGCGGCUCGAUCUCUACAAGAAAGAAGGGGUUUGAACUCCUCCCCUGUUGGAGAAGUGUCGCCGGCCAUGACUGAUGGUUGUUGCUCACCGGCCGUCGUCCCCUGUACCCAAUCCAGGUUGCACGUCCUCACACCGCCCACCCCCCUACCUCUUGAUCCCCCCAGUUCUCUGGUUUUGUCUAUCAAGAACUACAUAUGCUGGUGCCUAUGCGAGCUACAUUGGAAGAAUCCAUCAUUUGAAGAGUCCAUAUUGGGUGGACGAGGAGAUGCAACAGCAGCAGGCUCGUGCAUCACCGCAUGCUACGGAUUCAUGCCUGUACCAUUUAGGAGGAGACAGGAUGGCAGCAGGUCCGCGCAUCGGCGCCAGCCGCAGGUUGACUGGCCGGCAUCAGCUCAGGGGCGUGAUGUGGGUAGCCUGCAGAAUCACGCCCACGCCGCAUCCUCGCGAGGUGCUCACCGUGCCCUACAUCUCUGUAGGCGCACGUCGGGCAGGAGCUUAGCCCCAUGUUAUUGCUCAAGAGACCAUACAUGGCACAGGGUCAUGCAUCGUGAGCUAGCGUUGGAGGACAGCCUUACUGAAAAUACAUUGUUCCACAGCCGGUCGAUCCCCCCGAACGUCUUUAAGGUUUCCGUGGCCAGUGUCAAACCGGGCCACGAGAAUUUGCCUCCUCUAAUACUAGUGGGGGAUGACGACGAGAACCCGCAGCGGCUUGGUGAUUGUUGCAAUGGGUGGGUCCUGUUGUGGCCAAAGAGUCUGCUUUGUCUGGAGGCGGCCGGGAGCACACCCACGAGCACGCAGCCUCAGCAAGGUAUGAACAUCAACACCCCACCUACCCAAUUAGCGUCGGGUGUCGGGUUGGGUGAUAGCGGACGGGGUAAGCAGGUGGCUCCAUUAGAGGCUGAUGACGUCGCCAUGGAUGAGGAUGAGGAUGACGAUGGCACUGAACAGUAUGUCUAUACUGGCGCCUCCUCAGGGUUUGAGCAUCAUGAGUCGGUGCCUGAAUUACCGUCUCAACGUGUUAUUGACGACCAUCCGGUGGUAAAGAAGCCUAGGAAGAGAGCGAGGAAAGGCAAAAAAGCUGAUUCUAUGAUCCAGCUGCCUCAGUAG
Molecule: ribosomal RNA, 3354 nt
Filed under: Triticum aestivum (bread wheat)
Lineage: Eukaryota; Viridiplantae; Streptophyta; Magnoliopsida; Poales; Poaceae
Description: partial small subunit ribosomal RNA
Source: RNAcentral